GCAACAUCUACCUAGAAUAUCUGCUUCUCGCUGCCACAUGUUCCUUCCAUUCCAUUCCAUGAAGUCUACUUAACGAGCCCCUUCAGUAGAGAAGUUCUCAACGAAUCCCUUCUGGAUCCAGGCAUUCUGAUUACUGUAUUAUGACUGUGCACUCUACCCAGGGCAGACUGUCAUCUGAGCCCGGCCUGUCCUGCUGUCUGCUCUCUCCAGAGAGCAUCCUUCAUCCUGAUAAACAGGCUGCGAGCUGGACACGUGACUGAGCUCCUUAAGACGUGAGUCUUCAGUCUCCUGCCCUCAGCUUAGCUGGAAGCUGGAUGACAGCCACAUUAAGAGGCUUUCUGGAAGUGGCUUUUGGAUGAAAAGGGGGCCUCUCAGCUACUCCUCACUCUUAUCAUCCGACUGUGAAUGGGAGCCUCGCUCCUUCACCCUGAGCCAUCCAUCAAGACCCAGCACUAGGGCCAGGUCUGGUGACGAUGGCCAGACUGCUCACACUGCUGCCCCAGAACAUCCAGGGAUUUACAUCAUGCACCAGGUCCUGGGAUUGCGUCUUAACCAUCUGCAGUGGUCAUUCUGCUUCAUGAGAAAGGUUCCAGCUAGCCCAAUGAGGGAAGAAAAAAACUUAAAAUGGAGUAAGAGGAAGGAAAAGGACAAUAAUAAAAAACUCAAGCAGAACAGAGCCCUCAGAAAUAAUGCCGCAUAUCUACAACCAUCUGAUAUUUGACAAACCUGAAAAAAAACAAGAAAUGGGGAAACGAUUCCCUAUUUAAUAAAUGGUACUGGGAAAACUGGCUAACCGUAUGUAGAAAGCUGAAACUGGAUCCCUUCCUUACACCUUAUACAAAAAUUAAUUCAGGAUGGAUUAAAGAUUUAAAUGUUAGACCUAAAAUCAUAAAAACCCUAGAAGAAAACCUAGACAUUACCAUUCAGGACAUAGGCAUGGGCAAGGACUUCAUGUCUAAAACACCAAAAGCAAUGGCAACAAAAGACAAAAUUGACAAAUGGGAUCUAAUUAAACUAAAGAGCUUCUGCACAGCAAAAGAAACUACCAUCAGAGUGAACAGGCAACCUACAGAAUGGGAGAAAAAUUUUGCAAUCUACUCAUCUGACAAAGGGCUAAUAUCCAGAGUCUACAAUGAACUCAAACAAAUUUACAAGAAAAAAACAAAUAACCCCAUCAACAAGUGGGCAAAGGAUAUGAACAGACACUUCUCAAAAGAAGACAUUUAUGCAGCCAAAAGACACAUGAAAAAAUGCUCAUCAUCACUGGCCAUCAGAGAAAUGCAAAUCAAAACACAAUGAGAUACCAUCUCACACCAGUUAGAAUGGCAAUCAUUAAAAAGUCAGGAAACAACAGGUGCUGGAGAG
This 1365-nucleotide long non-coding RNA is filed under the name Pan paniscus (pygmy chimpanzee). RNAcentral describes it as "lncRNA (ENSPPAG00000044898.1)". Lineage: Eukaryota; Metazoa; Chordata; Mammalia; Primates; Hominidae. The record is from RNAcentral.